MicroRNA precursor from Dasypus novemcinctus (nine-banded armadillo), 79 nucleotides. Lineage: Eukaryota; Metazoa; Chordata; Mammalia; Cingulata; Dasypodidae. The record is from Ensembl.
GGGCCGCGGCUGCUGGGGCAGCGCAGGGAGGGCGGCCCUCGCGCUGGGCGCGCCCGGCCCCGCGGGGAGCUUCUGCCCG